RNAcentral lists this ribosomal RNA (263 nucleotides) under uncultured bacterium. RNAcentral describes it as "partial 16S ribosomal RNA". It matches the Rfam family "Bacterial small subunit ribosomal RNA", at positions 524 to 776 of the family's 1533-position model. The record is from RNAcentral.
UACGAAGGGGGCUAGCGUUGCUCGGAAUCACUGGGCGUAAAGGGUGCGUAGGCGGGUCUUUAAGUCAGGGGUGAAAUCCUGGAGCUCAACUCCAGAACUGCCUUUGAUACUGAGGAUCUUGAGUUCGGGAGAGGUGAGUGGAACUGCGAGUGUAGAGGUGAAAAUUUCGUAGAUAUUUCGCAAAGAAACACCCAGUGGCGAAAGGCGGCUCACUGGCCCCGAUACUGACGCUGAGGCACGAAAAGCGUGGGGGAGCAAACAGG